This 2954-nucleotide long non-coding RNA is filed under the name Marmota monax (woodchuck). Lineage: Eukaryota; Metazoa; Chordata; Mammalia; Rodentia; Sciuridae. The record is from RNAcentral.
UUGGAAUGUUGCAGAUACCGCUGGGCUUUCUUGAUAUAAGGUAAGAGGAAAGAUUAGUGAGGCUGGAAUUAGAAACACUGAAUCCAAGUCCAAGAUCUGAUGUGAAAACCAGCACAAUUCUUAUUCCCUCUGGCUUUCCUUUCUCCUUUGUUUGCAGGAGAAUAGUAACUGUUUCUCACCUUAUGAAAAAAGCCACAGCUCUCCCACCAGGUACCUUAGUGUCCUACCAUUCCAUAUCCAACUCUGUCUAUUUUGGGCAUUUCCAAACAAGGCCACAGAUUUUUAUUGCUUCCCUAUUGUUCUUUGAAGAAUGAUAAUUUCCUUGCUAAGAUAUCUAACGCUACUUCAUUGUAAGAGGCUCAGAUUUUUUCUUUCUCUCCUAUAAAAUGUGAAAUUUAUUUGUAUUUGACUUGGUUCAAGUUUGCCUGGAGUGGCUUCUCACUACUUUGUUUUCAUCUACCUUGGGAAGAUUUCUUUUUAUGUCACCUCUUACAUGCUUGUAGUUUCUUGGUAUAAGAAUUCAUUUUAUUCUCUUCUCUUUUUCCAAUUAUUACCAUGUUGUUGACUUUUUCCACUUUGAACCACUUCCUUUAGUUGUUUUUUCCUUUCAGUAAGAAAUAAUACCAUAUUUGAAACUAACAUAAUUCUUUUUUUUUUUUUUUUUUUUUGGUGGCAGGGAUUGAACCCAGGGGCACUUUAACACAGAGCCCCUGCCUCAGGCCUUUUUUGUAUUUUACUUAGAGACGGGGUCUCACUGAGUUGCUUAGGGCCUUACUAAGUUGCUGAGGCUGACUCUGAACAUGAUCCUCCUGCCUCAGCCUCCUGAGCUGCUGGGAUUACAGGUGUGUGCCUCCAUGCCUGACAACUUAAUUCUUACAUUGACUGCAAGAUACACUCAUUGGCCAUCUUAAUUCUGUAGUAUGGGGGGAAAAAAGCUUUCUUCUUCUGUUUUGAAAAUAGAAGAAGAAAGCUUUAUGUCAUUGCCAGGAUCCCAGAAGUGAGCUACUAGAGAAGGUUAGAGCACAUUUACUAAUUCCACUGCUGAGUUUCCUUUAGUUAGCUUUAACUUACAGAGUUAUUGUGUACAUUAUACCCUUCCCCAACUCGUGCACAUAAACGUCUUCAGGUGUUGACCACGUAUAUAUUGGGGGAAGCAUAUGUGCUUAAUUGAGAACUUAAGUCAACUUGCACCUUAUCUAAAUUUCAGAUAUGGACAGUGUCUUAUUUCCUAACCCUUAGGUAACAUGUGUUUAUAUACACAACAAAACUCUAUGGCUGCAGAUAUUUCUAGGUGUAUUCCAUUUGUGUGGAAUAGGCAACUAUUAAAAGCCAAGAACUGCAGAAACUGGCAUCACAGGAGGGCUUCCAGAAGCCCUGUGUGGGGGGAGGGUUUCCACCCAGGAGGAGCCUUAGCUGAUUGAGUCUUUCCAAGAGAGGAGGACAGUGGAAAGGAAUCUCUUCUUCAAAUCCCCUCCCAUGUUUGCUUAGAAGACAUUGUCAGAAUCAACCCAGAUGCCAAAAACGUUCAAGGAAACUGUCUAGAAUCCCCAGUCUCCACCCAAUUCCAGUCCAACCCUUCUGCACUAAUCACUCUAGCCCUCUGAGACAGGGUGCCUGACAGGGCACCCAAUCUUCACAUUCCUCCCCAGAGCUUUACUGCAGUCAAAUGAGAGCAACAGCUUGAUCAUUUAAAAUAAUAAUCUUACAGCCUCAAAAUUCCAAAGGGUUUGGGCAGCUGAGUCACAGACAUAUGCAAAAGAUGUCACUUGUCCCAAGACACAAGGAGCCUUAGUGUGUUCCGAAGGAAAAGCCAGCUGUUUUAUUGCCUUCUGCACACAGGACAGAAUCAUGCUGUGACCAUAGGUGUGGCAGGUGUUCCCCUCACACCAGGCACACUUUGGACACCAACUGGGUGUCUGCUGAUUCAACCCAGUCCUGAGGCUGUCCACCUGGAGAAAGUAGAUAGCGUCCGAUUCCCCAGGUUAAGGACUCAGUCCCACUGAGCUGCAAGUAGUAGGCUGUCAUCUAUACCUCUGACAGACUGGCUAUAAACUGGGUUCCCACUACUCCCUUCUUGAGUUCAGUUAAUUUUCUGUGAUGGUUCCAAGAACUCCCCUGAACAUAUUUACUGCCUGCCCCUGCUUCCCUGGUACUGGGGAUUGAACCCAGGGGUGCUCUACCACUAAGCUACAUCCCAGCCCUUUUCAUUUUUCUUUUUUAUUUUGAGACAGGGUCUUAUUAAAUUGCUCAGGCUGGCCUGGAACUCACCAUCUUCCUGCCUCUACCUCCGGAGUCACUGAGAUUACAGGCAUGUGCCACUGUUCCUGAUGGUUUGCUGGCUUUUUAUAAGGGCUAUUUCGAAGGACAUAAAUGAACAGUGAGAUGAAGGAUGGACGACAGGAGGAGGUAUGGGGGCCAUGGAGCGCCAGUGCUUCCCUACAAGGGUGCCAGCCCACCAGCAUCUGUGUGUCCAGCAGACCAGCUCUUCCAUGCUUAUGGUUCAAGGGUUUUCAGACCUUGAUCUCCAGCCGCCCCCACCCCCACUUCCUGGUAUUCAAGCCCUCUAAUCUGUAAUCACUGGGUCUCCCCAGUGACUAGUUCUAGGGGCCUCACUCUAAGAUAAGCUCAUUAGCAGAGAUCCAGUGUUAUCCAAGGGUCAUUGUGAAAAACACAAACAUUCCUACCACUCAGGAACUUCCAAGAGUUUCAGCUUUGUGAGAGAAACCUGGGAAGAUGACCAAACACUGCAUUUUUCCUAGUAGUUACAUUUUCUAAGGAGUCCACAUUUUCAGCUUUCCAUACUGCCAGUCAAGCCUCUCAUCAGACAGAAGCAAACUAAAAGUCUGAUUACUAAAAAUAAAAAUAUUUGCUUUUAUCUGAUAGCAGAGUAUAACAACAAUUAUGCCUUUUAUCAUCUUAUUAUUUAAAAUAGAGAAUUUAAUUUUGAAUGAAAC